This 472-nucleotide long non-coding RNA is filed under the name Brassica rapa (field mustard). Its description in RNAcentral is "long non-coding RNA (BRAP_LNC006989)". The record is from RNAcentral. Lineage: Eukaryota; Viridiplantae; Streptophyta; Magnoliopsida; Brassicales; Brassicaceae.
GGAAAAGUGCCAAUUUCGACCCCAACAAUUUCAGUCGUGCCAAAUACGACCCGAACAAUUGAUCAGUGCCAAAUACGACCUCAACUCAAUUAUAAUUCAAAAAAACUACCCGAACUUUUUAAAAUGUGCCUAAAUCUACAUUGACUCUAACAGAAGUUAGUCAACCGUUAACAAGAUAAAACGACGUCGUUUUGAUAUACGAGGAAAAGUGCCAAUUUAGACCCCAACACUCUCAAUCGUGCUAAAUAGGACCCGAACAAAUGGUCAGUGCCAAAAACGACUUCAACUCAAUUAUAAUUUAAGAAAAAUUACCCAAUUUUUUUUUAAAACGUGUCUAAAUCUACAUUGACUCUAACAGAAGUUAAUCAACAUUUAACAAGAUAAGACGACGUCGUUUUGAUAUAUGUAUUUUUUUAAAAAUAUGUUCAUUUCGGAACUCAAAUCCGUACUGAGAUAUCCUUUUAAAGGGGCA